AAGAUGCACUCAAUUGGAAAUCGCUGUAUCUCUGCAGCCCACGAACGAGAAGCUCUCACCGCUGGAAAGGGCAGGGCGCAGAAUGUCCGGUUGUUGCCACUAGGUGCCUCUGCCAGCGCACAGACAGCCGCGGGGCCGCGGAGCGCUUGUCAGCGGCACCAGCAGCGUGAGGGAACGGGCUGUUCCCGGGAGGGGAAGAGCACGGGGAACACGCGCUCCAGAGGAAAAGGUGGGAAGAACACGGCCCGUGCGCGUCCAUUCGUCCUGCCAGCCGAGUCCAUCUCUCUGAAACACCCUGUAACAUUUCGUUAGAUAAUCAUACAAGCAUAAAACGCAGGGACAGUUCUCGGGACAGAGACCAAACACAGCUUUAGCUCCCGGCCUGGCGGUCUCGUCUGCUCUCUCUGACUCUUUUUCUAUGUAAUGCCAUAUUUCAGAAGGAGAGAAGUGGAAAGAAAGAACCAUUCCUUCUCCUUUCUCCUAGACAGACGUGGUGGGGUGAUCUGAAAUGUGCACGUUUCCUGGAGGUGAGGUGAGAAUUGGACCAGCUAUCUGGCUUCUUGAGCAUCUGUUUUAGUCACUGGACUAACAGGGACGCGGCAGAGAAAGCCGCUGCGUGCAGAAGCCCGGCUCUGACAGCACGCGUCACACGGAGAACACUCCCUGGACCGGGCCUUCGCGUGGUGUGGAGAAACACUUAGUCUCUGGAUGACGAUUUGACUUCAGCUGGCUCUUCAUGAGCCACCCACACUGUUCUUAGCUGACCUAGAACAGAAACAGGAUUUUAUGGCAUGUUCUCACUGCAAAAUAAGCCAGAGCCAGAGGGCCGGCUCAGCUUUUGGCGCCCAGUCGCUCACGCCGCGCGGCUGCAGCGCCCGCAGCGCGGGCCCCCGCCUAGCGGCAGUCUGAGGGGGUUUUGCUGCAGCACAGGGCAGCAGCACCCGCUGACGAUGGGCAGGAGAGAUUCUACCAGAACCGGUUCCCUGGCAUUUCGCAGCUGCCUUCUGCGGGUUUUGUGCUCCGAACCACACCGUGCACCCUGACACCACGGCAGGCAGCGUGUGCUCCUGCAGCUUGCAGCCGCUCCGCCUCGGGCAGCCCGAAACGGAGAGGUGCCCGUGCCAGGAAACCCUCGCAUCCUCCAUGUCUUCGGGCUGGAUGGCCCUUAGAUGAAAACCAGCGGAAACCCAGAGUUAUGAGUCAGGUAAUGGGAACGGGUCUGGUCUGCGCUCCGCGGGCUCACGCUGGCACUGUCUCACCUGGACUGGAUGUAGCCAAUGCACCAUCUGAACCAAAGGCCGACCACCAGCAGUCACCGCAGCCACAAGGCAGGGCCUGAAUACACGUACUCUAUAGGGAAAGGGCCUGGAGAAAGGAAAAUAUCACUAUGGAAGUGGGUGAACACUGGAACAUGGGCCCAGAGGGCUGUAAGAUCCUAAAACCCAAAGGCCCUGGACAUCUGGAGAAGGCCGGGAGCGGCUUUGAGCCCCGCAGAGCGCCUGUCCCCGCGGACCUGACACUGACUGUCGACCUCAGGCAGGAGUGCAGCCACACUACAAACUGGAAUAUGUACACGCUAUGCAGAGCAGGGGGUCAGUCUUCUGACAACAUGUCUCUAUGGUGAAUCUCAGGUAUUUUGUGAUAUGAAUUGUGAGUGAAAGGGGGAAGAAGAGGGCGAGCUAAAGAUAAAGGAUCAGAUGUUACAUCCUGCCUGCUCAGCUGCUGGUCCUUAAACUGCUUGCUGCUGUGCAUUCACCAUCAAUAGCAGACAUACUUAUGCCACCGUACUCUGCAAGCAAACAAUCAGUGCGGGCAAGAGUGGCCUAGGUGGGUUCUGUUGGGCAACGUUCAGAACUCGGCAGCUCUUGCAAAUGAAAGGCCAAAGGCAAGUCUCCAGCCAGGCCCCGCGUGACUGUGGAGCGCAGGAUGCGGCCCCACGUUAGCAGUGCUAACCAGGGAUGGGGUCACUGUAGGACAACAGGCAAAACUGAACUCUGCUACAACUGAAUGUCGUGUUGAUAAUGCAGCCUCACCGGUUUUUAUAAACAAAAUUGAACUUAAUUUGCUUCAGAGUAGCUAAGGUGCUGUUAAUUCAAAACCCACAGAGUAACUCACUGGACACAGUUAAUAGUCAGCAGACCACAUAGGCCAGGCUUUGAAAGCAUUUAAUAUUCGCUGAAGUGCUGCUUGUAUCCAAUUAUAACUCACUACUUGCCAUCUUAAUAAUUUAAAUCUGUCCACUCUUUAGAGAGAAAAAAAUGCACUAAUCAAAUACAUGAAUGCACCUUUUGCUUUUGACAGCAUUAAAUUAAAACUAAAUGGUAGAUCUUGAAUGAGUUACUCUGCAAGAAUAAAGGCAUUAAUGAGGUAAUUUCAUUAUAGAGGCUCAUCCAAGCCUAUGUGAAAACAAGGGAAGUAAAUGGAGAGGAAAGCCGCUGAGGAAAUUAGGGUUCCUUCCACACUAAUUAAUGUUUUGGGGCAUUUAGUACAGGCACCAAAUUAACUGCUCCAAAGAACUCCAUUGAGAAAAAAAAUACAUUGUUGCUCUGCCAUGUAAUUAGAAGACAGUACAAGCAGAACACUUAAUGAGUAUAAAGCCAGCCUUUAACUUAUUCUGCCCAGCUUCUGAAAACAUGCCAUUGUGGAGGCCUAAGUUUAAGGAAGCACAAGGCGUACAAUAUAGGAUUGUUUAGGUCCUUCUGUUCGGUGAGCUGUAAACAGGUAGCCCUGAAUGGGGACUCUGGGACUCCUGGGAGGCCCGGCUUCCCAGAAAAAACAAGGUCUUAAAUGCGUCCAGAGGGAAGAAGAAAAGGUGAAUAGGCCCAGCCCGGGCAGCGCCGUGAAUGCGCACCGCUGUCCUAAGCGAUUACAUGAUGUUGUGCCACCCCCUCUCAUUGAGUUAUCUUUACACUGCUUUUGUCUCCUCUAAUUGGAGCUGAUGAGGUGCUAAUUGGUUGCUUUUUAAAAAAAGCACUACUUAAGCACUGGCAAACAGAGUAAGACAGCGUGAGUGGAGUUAAUGAGGGCUUAGCAAAAAAGAAAAACCAAACCAACCAACCAACCAACCUCAAAAAAAUCAUACCAGAGCUAAGACAGCCCAUGCGAAUGUGUGCACCAGCACAUACGGACGUGCCAUCCUGGUGGUGUAAACAAAAACGCGAAGGGAAAUGUCUGAAUGUAGGCGAUGGCUGGGAGGAUUUAGUUGUGUGAGUGAAGGGGCAACGCCGGGCGCAGAUCACGCACGGACAGACGGACGCCCAGCGCUCCGGUCCCGCGGAGGGGCGGGGGCGCCGCGCGGGACCCGCCGCACGGUGCGGAGCUCGGCGGGGCUGCCGGCGGGGCGCGGGCCGGUGGCGCACGGAGGACUCGCUCCGGAGGUGUUCACACGGUCCUGAGGAGGGUGCUGAGGUGAGGUCUGCAGGCUGGCGGGCCGAACCGCCGCUUUGCGACUCGCAGGUGAGCUGCUCGCCAUGGCCCCUUGCUGGCCCAGGGCAAGGCCGGCGCCCUCCGGCGUGACAGCCGGACCUCGCAGAGCCACCCGCCGCGCCGUGGUGGAUGUGGCAUCGCAGCCACACGCAGGUGACAGCUGUGCCUCUGCACCCACAGCCUGCAGGCUGGACUAGGCUGGAAAGGUUUCUAUUUCAAACUCAUAUCUGUGGUGUUAAACCGAGGUCUAGGCUGGUUAGAAAUAGCCCAGACGCCUGUGUCAGGCUGAGCAGCUGCGGUCAGUGGUGCCCGCCAGCAGCAGCAGCGCUCCCGUUUCGGGGCACGCGUGUCCGCGGCAGUGGGUCUGUGUCAGUGCCCGUGCCGUGGGUCACCCCGCGGACACCGCUGGCCGGACCGCCGCGCUCGGCUGUCACCAGGCUCCCCACCCCCCCGCCCCGCCUGCGACCAGCACCGAGCCCAGCAACAGGCCUUUUGUCGCCGGGUUGCUGUCACCUUCCCCAAUGCGUGUGCCGCCGUGAUUUACACGCCAGCAGCAGCAGGUGUUGGGGGACGCUCUCAAUGACCUCAUUUUCAGCACAUGGGCUUGUAUCAAAAAAUAAAUCUGGAAAGCGCUAACUUUAAAAAUGUUUACAUGCUUAGUCUUUUGGUAAUUUUGUGUUUUGAAAAUAUUCUUAAUAUAGUUACUUAAUUUGGGUAUGUAGUUAAUAACUUCGACAACAUUUUCAGUAACAACAUGGAUACAGAAACACCCUGAAUAAUUUGAACCCCAUGAAGAAAAGAAAUAUUUUUUUUUCUUUUUUUUAAUGCUUGGCAUGGUUUUAGCUUUUUAAAAUGAUUUUUUGCCAGCUUUAUGUGAAGUAUUGUGAUUAGAGCGUGUAGUGUUAAACCUGUUGCUACUACAGCUGGAUCCAGAGGUCCUACUUUUGCCAUAACUAUAUACACCUCCUAAAAAAGAUGUUGAGUAACAUUGGGUCCUCUGCAUUUUACGCAUAUCCUGUAGGUGGGUUGAUACUGCCUCCCGCGUUUCUAAACCAAUUCUGAAGUUCCCCACUACUAAAGUACUCGAGUCCUAAAGGAGAGCACAGAAAGCACCUGGGCUAUCGCUGAUGUUGCCUGGCAAUACGCAAAAAUAAUUCUGCAAGCUUUUUGAGAAUGAUAUUGCAAAUGCCUGUGUUCAACAGAGUCUGUGCUGUUGAUGGGUUUCUUUACAUACAGUUUGUUUUAUGCGCAGCUGCAGGGCUCCGUGUUUCACAGGCGGUACGUGGGGACUCGGGGAGCGGCUGCGGGCGGUGACCGCUUCGUCCUCCCCGUCGCGGGCUCAGGACCGCCAGGCAGCUCCCUGAGUCCUUCGGAGCUGCCGAGCAGCUUCCUGUGGACAAGGAGAGGAACGUGCAGUUAAACCUGUAAAACCCACAGUCAGCCUAAGACGACAAUGCACCUUUUAUUAAGACGACUCAGAUGAUCUAUUGAUGCUGAGGAGAAAUAAAGGCUCAGGGCCCUCCCUUUGCUCACUUCUGGGUUGGGUUGGGUUGGUUUUGGCUGUGUAUAACGCAGUUAGAAAAACCAAUUAGUUUGCAAACAACCAGUUACUUGGGUAUGUGUUUAUGCCUGGUAAUUUGUACCCCUAUUGACAUUUUAAACUGGAUUCUUUUCACUCUAACACGUGGUCCCUUGAUUUUCUUUCAGUUGUCAUGAAGAUGGGGGGUUUCUUGCUGGCUGGUAGAAAGAAACUUCCUAGGGAACAAAGUUGCAAUUAAUUCCUCUAAACACGUGUUCCUAGAACCAUCCAUCUAUAAAACAGGCAACAAAACAGAGCUCUUUGCUUUAAGAAGUCACAAAAGAUGCAGAGCUGAAAAAAAAGCUUGGAUCCCUUAAGGCUAAUUGAGCAAAUAUUUUGUUUUUUCUUCUGCGACUGAUGCACUUGACAAUGUUUGUGUGUUCCCAGGGGCAGGCACGCUGUGCCGCCGGGACGCGCGCUCGUCACCGCUGCCCGCGGCGCGCUCGCUGAAUGCUUGCGGGAGGCCGUCCCUCGGGUCUCCUUUGUUUCCCAUGGGAUUAAUAGCUUCUGGUUUACCACAAGGCAGCGUGACGUGAGCUGUGGCAUUGCAUGCUGUGCCUGCCAAGAUGUAAUCCUUAGACGUCUUCUCUUUCCACUUCCUCUUCCAGUUUACCUUUUGCCUUGCUGCUGUUGGGAAAGACGCUUCCCAGGCCCCCUCCCUUCCCAACAAGCACAGCCAAUUGUGCACCCGUUUAAACAGGAAUGACCUUCAUUUUCUGAAGGUGAAGGUAAUCCUGUUCAUAAGGAACAAACAGCAGAGAGGGCUGGGGUCCUUCGCUGGCUCCUGGCAUUCCUGGUCCUGAUGAGCGAUGGCUUCAUUGCUCUGGCUGCUGCGGCUGCAGCUCAGGGGCACAGGCAGCCCUAUCACAUCUAAAUGAGGUAAAGGGGGCACCACUCGCCUGAGCCCAUGGGAUGGCAUAUCUCAUCAGCUGCUGCUAAUGAGGGGAUUAAAGGUGCCUUAAACCAUCUCCUCUUGUUGGUAGGUUUGGGUCUGGAAGCCUUAUCUCUUCCUGCACAAGUGGUGAGUAGUUUAGUGGUUGCAAAGUGCAUGGAGUAGGUGUGUCAGAGGCAAAACCACAUUUGUAGUUACUAUUGUACCUGUUAGAGCGGAAGCAUCUUUGGAUUCCUGCUGGGAUUAGUUCCCGAAUGCAUUUCCAGGCCAUAUCAUCUGCGAGCCUGUGCCAGCGGCUCCUGCCACCAGUGCGCAAUGAAUCUCUCAUCUUUGACCUUGGAGGGAAUUUGGCAGCUGUCCCUGCGUGAGAGGGAGCAGAUGGCCGUGUGCGCUCAGUACCGCGGCACAGCACCGUGUGUGCAAAGUGGGAAGCACCGGAGCCGCUUGUCCACCACUGCUGCCAUCAAACUGUCCCCCGAGAGAGCAGCAGCCCAGGACAGGCAGGUAAGAAAACCUCCCCGCCUUCCCUGUCCCCUGCCUGCUGCUUUGUCUGAAAAUGUCUCCUCUUCAAUAUUCAUCACUCUGGGAAUGUUAAUUCAGCACAAAUUCACUUGCAGUGAUGUUUAAUAGGCGAGUUGUCUCUAAAGGAGGUAAAGUCUGCUUACAAACUUCAUGUGAGGGGAAAAGGUGCAAAGGGUGACAGCAAAGGACUCUAACAUAUACCAGAUAAUCUUUGAAAAUGAAAAAUUACCAUUUCCAAAGGAAAUACCUUAAAAGUAUCACAGAAGGCUCCAAAAAGGCUCCAAGUUUGGAAAGCACCUAUCCUAUGGAAGGGUGGACAGGUUUCUCUCCUGUCCCUUCAAACCCCUUUGCGUGGGCUGCCCAGGGCCGAAGCUGCGGGUGGGUCAGGCCCACGAGCUGCAGCGUUCGUGGCAUGAGGCACCGCGGGCGCAGCCAGCAGCCGCGAGCGCUGUGGUGAUGGUGAUGUGGUGAACCGGACUCGCUGGCUUUAGAGGAAGGCGUAUGAAUUGGGCUGCCUGAAGUAGGUGAGAGCAAAAGAAACGGUGUGCUGUCAGCAAAGCACACAAAGCAACAGGCACCUGAUGUCUGAGUCUCCCCCUGUGCCCACCGGGGCUGUAUCUCACUAGUUAAUGAAGGGCUCACACCUGCGCCACUGCCUCUUCCAAAGCUCAAGCGCAGCAUCAGGCAGGGUGCUGCUGUUAGCGCCGCUCCCUUGGUUUGCGAUGACCGGAAGCUCAUGGGCACAGCAGUAACGAGGAGCACACUAGAGUGCUCAGGAGCCACAGUGCACGCAGCACCAGGCACCAGCUCAGCACGGUCCCGGAAGCAUCAGGUAUGAAUUCUGGGUGAGGCAGUGAGGACUGCGCCGCCUCUGACCGGCUCUGGCACUCGCUGUUGUUGACCCCGGUUUAGAGGGUGCAUCUGGGCGUUCCGAAACAUAGGAGGAAAAGCAAAGAAGUUCUUGCAGUAAGUCAUCACAGCAAUAUGGGAGCACAACCUUUGUUUGUCAAACUCUGCUGAUUAUCAGGAAAAGGAGAUGGAGACUGAGCCUGUACACUGCUUGUAAAGUGUAAAAAUUAAGAUUAUGAGAUUUGCAGGGAAAAAAAAACCAACAUGGAAGAUUCUGGAUCUAAAAUAUUAAUGUUUUAGUAAAUCAGCUUAUGUUUGCUACAUAUGAGCCGGUUGGACAUUUUAUCCGUGCCCGUGAUGUUUGUGUGCUUGCCCUGUCAAAUCUCCAUGAGAUUAGUCCAGAGCCCUAAGGGUGUGCGGCAUCGCAGGCUGCGCCGCUGCCUGGCUCCCCAGCGCGUAAUCCACCGGCCGUUGCGCCCUGGCGGCGCGGCGCGGGCAGCGACCUCCGGCGGGACGGACCGCGGGACGGGCCGAGCGUCCAGCGGGGAGCGCGGCUGUCAGCAGCAGCUUGCGCAGGCAUCGACAGCUUCGCGCUGGGAAGCCGUGAAACCCGUGAACGGUGACUAAAGUAAUUUCAGCGCUAAAAAAAUGGGGUUUGUCGAGCGUCAUUGUUUUGGACUUCUCGUGACCUCACUUAGCAGAACGGCCUCGCUGCCUGUAACCUUUGUCUCCAGUAUUUUCAGCAAUAACUAGCUUUGUAGGCAUUUGUUUUCUAUCAUCAAAUCAUUAAAUGGUAAUGCAAUUGUUAGUUUCAUUUCCCCAGUUCUAAUACAUUUUGCAGCCAGUGACCAUUCCCAGUUCAUUAACUGACUGACCUCAGCAUUAACACCCCCCCUGCUCGGGUUGCCUUGGAAACAAAGCUUCCUGUGCGUAAUCCAAGCUUAUCUAGCUCUUUAUCCUACAUGUGACCCUUAAUUACUUGCUAAAUUAGAAUGGUUUUCUGAAAAUCACAAGAGGAGGUUAAUAUGUUCUUCCAGAGCUGGUCAAGCUAAGAUGACACUAAAUUCACAGGGAAUUCAAAUUACAUGAUCCCUGAAGGCGUCUCUUUCAGAAAGAAGAUGAACUUUCCCAAUGGGAGGCAGUGUGCCAUGAUAAUGCUCCUGUCACUCACUUCCCUUGCCCUGCUUGUCCAGCUACAGCUUAAUCCAGUAUGAACAAUGCAGCAGUGUGUGUGAAGCUUGCAACCUGCUGAGGAAAACUCAUCAGUCCCGCAGGCAAGACCCCAGCACAGAAGGAUCUUCAGUCACCAUCCCACGAUAGCAGAACGUGCCCUUUGGACAAAUGCAGUUCGCGUUCUCCGUCUGCGCCCGGUGUCGUGGCUCCUCCUUGCUGUGUGUUCGGCAGAUGUGCCAGGCCAGCUGUUCACCACAACUGCCGAGUGGAAAUUCCCUUUCUCAGGUCUCCAGGGAACAAAGCUCUGUGUCAGCAAGCCAGUGGAGUGCCUCAGUUUCACAAAGUUCACUGGAACAACGUGAUUUAAUGGUUCUUUUCCACCUGACGCACACACUGCCUCUCUACCGAGCAGCAGCACACUUGGGCACAGAAGAUCCAUUUUCCGAUAUAGGUGUCACAGAAAAGGAGGGGAAAGGCGGCUUGAGGUUGGCAAAAACACCAGUCCGGGAACAAGCAGCUCUCUUCUUUAGGCCCUACAGCAGUUCAUGCUUCUGAACGUUAUCGUUAGUGAUAAGAAUCCCCGAGUUCUGUGUUCUGGAGAUGUCAACGUCUAUAUCACCACUGACGGAGCAUUGUCACCAGAAGUCUAAUGUCUGGUUUAGCAAUUAUGAGCUUCUCCUAGGUAGUCAGACUUUGCAGCAUUUGACUCACUACGCAUACAUUUAAACACAGCCAAUGCAAAAAACACAGUCUGUUUUAGCAUGCCCCUGUCUGUUCUGAAACACAAACCAAUGUGGAUCUGUGUGCAAAUGUUUGCUUUCAUGGAUAUACAUAAAGCUCACAUGCUAAUCAUUCACAUUGAGGUGGGAAGAAACUAGACAGGUAAGUGCAGUCUACCAGUUGUACUGGAGAUUUCUUUUGGUAUAAGAUGUAUUUGUGUUUUACACUUUAGUUACAGAUAGAGUCAUCUGUAUUUCUGCUUAGAAUUCCUGGGUUCAACACAAGAUACCUCAGGUGCUCAUUAGCAUGACAGUGGUCACUGUGGCCUCCUUUGUUUCCUCCCUUUCCCUGCACCCUCCCAACGGGGACUCUUCAGCAAAGGCUCAAAUAUCAGAGGAGGAAGGACAGAUCCCAUACUCUAUAUCCACUCUAUAUCUCACUUCACUGCUGGGACCUCUGGAAAUAUGAUGGCAUUUUUCUAAGAAUAACGACAGAGAAACUGUAUCAUCUACUGCUUGGCGGGAUCUGAGACAGCUGAGGUAUCUAAUUCAUUAUGAUUCUAUGGAAUUCAUCAUUCUGCCAAUGGCUCAUCACCCACGGAAGUAUUUAUGAAGAUACAUUCUAGACGUGUGAGAGAUUAGCAGGUGCUAAGCAAGAACAUAUUUACAUGUUCUUUGGUGUUUCUGCUGAAACUUCCAGCAAAUAUGCUAAUGCUUUCCUAGUGCCUGUCUGUUGGUAACAGGACUGACGCUAGCACAUAUUUUCUCGACUAGAGAAGGCUGUCAGUCCCUGCCAGUCCAAGCAGGUUCCAGGCCAGUAAGCCAUUUUCUGUUCUCUGUUUGCUGAACCAUCAUUUUCCUGUUACCGUAUUUGAAUGAAAACUUAAUUUUCAGGACAGAAUUCAAUACAGUUCUUACAAACAGGAAGUAUUUUUUGUUUUCUCUAGUGAGUUCGUGCAGUCAGAACAACCUGAAGGGACAGUUAGUUCCCUGUCUCAGCUAUAAUGUUCAUAAUCUGGGAGUCUCUGGAUGUUUUCCUGUGUGUCCCAGUGGAUUGCAGGGCAGCUUUCUAUGCCUGGAAAGACGACUUUUAAAUAAGUGAGUUUCUGUUUUCAAAUGAGGUUUUAAAAAUCGUCCGUGCACAAUUGCUAAUGUAGCCAAGUAAUCACGCUAAAAUCUUUGGAUGCCACCAGAUCCUUGAAAGCCGCCUGGGCUUUACCGUGAGCACGCGUGCUGAGCGGUGUCUGUGGCAGGGGUCGCGCCUCCUCACACAGAAGGUACCUCAGCGCCACCGCGGUGAUCUCGGCACUGGGCAUCGCACCCCACAUGGGCUUCGACGAAGACUUUAAUGCAGUUUGCACUGCACGGGGGCUUCGCAGACAGAUACAGUUACACACGUGUUCAUGUGUGUGUGUCAAACUUCCUUGGCAUUAAUCAAACCUUAUGUGGUUUGAUUAAUCAAAACCAAGAAGGAUGAGUUUAACAGUGAAAGUGCAAGGGCCACAAAGGGAAGCGAUGAAGAAAAGUGGUGAUUUGCUGUCUUUUAAAAUCAAAUGUUUUGAAGUUUGAUAUCCCCAGACUUUUCACCACUUAGCCAAUGUAAGUUUAAAAUAGAUAUUUAUACAUGUGCAAGUUUGUAUGUGUGCAUGUAUAUAUGCACAUACAAUUUGAUGAGUUCAUCUUUGUCUUCAUCUGAGGGAAACGAGUGGCUGAACUGGCAGAGCCAUUCCGUACAGAGCGAUUACACAAACUGAACCGAGUUUUACUCUUUGACGUUAUGGUAAUUAAGAAACAACCAUAUAGUGAUCUAUCUGGGAAACCUUGUUCCUCGGCUAUGGAGUGCUGGCAAGUACUCAGGAGAUUUCAUGCUUGGUGACAUUUAUGAAACACCUACAAAGUAUCAUAUAAAACAGGCACAAUCAGUCAAAUGACAGAAGAGUUGAUAGCAAGUUUGAUGUACACAAAAGUAGUUUUAUUUUACCUACUACUAAGUUGAGACAAUUUAAUGUAACAUUGUGAAGUUAUGCAGUACAGCGUCUGUCCUCUUAAGCCGUGUGUUGCUUCUAUGCUGGUGCCUCUAGGUGGUAAGAGGAGGUUUGUUUCAGGGCUAGUGCUUUUGGUUUUCUAGUCUCUCUCAGUGGGGUUCAGCUAUUUUAUUGCCAUGAAAAGUUCCAAGAUUACUGCCGAUGCAUGCGUGAAGUAGACAGGAUAGGGCUUCGUGCUGCUCUGCCUGGACCUCUGACGCACGCACCGUUCUGUCCUCCUCCGGUGAUUGCAGCACACUGUGUUGAUCCAGUGUUCUAGAGUUCUACCUGGAAAACUUCUUUCUGGAUCGUUAAAGCCAAGUAGCUGAGUUUUCUGUGCCUACUUAGCGGCUAAGGAGAGACCCCCAGCUCCCUGAACAUCUCACAGGUGUACUCUAAGAAACCCAAAUAUAUUCUUAAAUUGCUUAGAGGUAUUUUAGAACAUAGUUGGAUGGAAGAUACUGUACAAAACAAAACAUCAGGUAGUUCUUUCUCUACAUUAACGAGUAUUAAAUUAUCAAGAAUACUCAAGAUACUCAUGUUCUUCUAAAAUGUAUUUCAGAAAUAUUUUGCUUGCAUGUGUCAUCUGAUCCACAUAUUUGCUCAUUCCCGUGCACAACUGAGAACGAGGAUGUACCUUUCCCAGCGAAUACGUACGGUUUUACUGUCAUCCAUGCUGAAGUAGGUGUGCCAUUUUAAAUAAAGGACUGCACCCCGCA
Long non-coding RNA from Columba livia (rock pigeon), 11903 nucleotides. RefSeq lists it as uncharacterized. The transcript is spliced from 4 exons. The record is from RefSeq and is a predicted model, not a curated record. Lineage: Eukaryota; Metazoa; Chordata; Aves; Columbiformes; Columbidae.